This 210-nucleotide unclassified non-coding RNA is filed under the name uncultured Trichoderma. Its description in RNAcentral is "sequence contains ITS1". The record is from RNAcentral. Lineage: Eukaryota; Fungi; Ascomycota; Sordariomycetes; Hypocreales; Hypocreaceae.
CCGAGUUUACAACUCCCAAACCCCUAUGUGAACGUUACCAAAAUGUUGCCUCGGCGGGGAAUUUAUUCAUGCCCCGGGCGCGUCGCAGCCCCGGACCAAGGCGCCCGCCGGAGGACCAACCAAAACUCUUUUUGUAUACCCCCUCGCGGGUUUUUUUUUUACUUCUGAGACUUUCUCGGCGCCCCUAGCGGGCGUUUCGAAAAUGAAUCA